This 253-nucleotide ribosomal RNA is filed under the name uncultured bacterium. RNAcentral's name for it is "partial 16S ribosomal RNA". It matches the Rfam family "Bacterial small subunit ribosomal RNA", at positions 524 to 776 of the family's 1533-position model. The record is from RNAcentral.
UACGUAGGGUGCGAGCGUUAAUCGGAAUUACUGGGCGUAAAGAGUGCGUAGGCGGUUUCUCAAGUCCGCUGUGAAAUCCCCGGGCUCAACCUGGGAAUGGCAGUGGAAACUAGGAGACUUGAAUCUGGCAGAGGGGGGUGGAAUUCCACGUGUAGCAGUGAAAUGCGUAGAUAUCUGGAGGAACACCGGUGGCGAAGGCGGCAUCCUGGACCGACACUGACGCUGAGGAGCGAAAGCCAGGGGAGCAAACGGG